RNAcentral lists this ribosomal RNA (405 nucleotides) under uncultured bacterium. RNAcentral describes it as "partial 16S ribosomal RNA". It matches the Rfam family "Bacterial small subunit ribosomal RNA", at positions 28 to 526 of the family's 1533-position model. The record is from RNAcentral.
GAUGAACGCUGGCGGCGUGCCUAAUACAUGCAAGUAGAGCGCAGCGGGGACGGGUGAGUAACACGUAGAUAACCUCCUAUAAGACUGGGAUCACUUCGGGAAACCGGCGCUAAACCUGAUACUUAUCGAUGUAUCCGCGCUGAAUUAGCUAGUUGGUAAGUUCACGGCUUACCAAGGCCACGAUGCAUAGCCGACCUGAGAGGGUGAUCGGCCACACUGGAACUGAGACACGGUCCAGACUCCUACGGGAGGCAGCAGUAGGGAAUCUUCCGCAAUGGGCGAAAGCCUGACGGAGCAAUGCCGCGUGAGUGAUGAAGGUCUUCGGAUCGUAAAACUCUGUUAUUAGGGAAGCGGUACCUAAUCAGAAAGCCACGGCUAACUACGUGCCAGCAGCCGCGGUAAUAC